UACGUAGGGGACAAGCGUUAUCCGGAUUUACUGGGCGUAAAGCGCCCGUAGGCGGCUUUUUAAGUUGGACGUGAAAGCUCCCGGCUUAACUGGGAGAGGCCGUUCAAAACUGAGAGGCUAGAGUGAGGCAGAGGAGCGCGGAAUUCCCGGUGUAGUGGUGGAAUGCGUAGAUAUCGGGAGGAACACCAGUGGCGAAAGCGGCGCUCUGGGCCUAAACUGACGCUGAGGGGCGAAAGCCAGGGGAGCAAACGGG
RNAcentral lists this ribosomal RNA (253 nucleotides) under uncultured bacterium. RNAcentral's name for it is "partial 16S ribosomal RNA". It matches the Rfam family "Bacterial small subunit ribosomal RNA", at positions 524 to 776 of the family's 1533-position model. The record is from RNAcentral.